RNAcentral lists this ribosomal RNA (460 nucleotides) under uncultured bacterium. RNAcentral describes it as "partial 16S ribosomal RNA". It matches the Rfam family "Bacterial small subunit ribosomal RNA", at positions 338 to 795 of the family's 1533-position model. The record is from RNAcentral.
CCUACGGGUGGCAGCAGUGAGGAAUAUUGGUCAAUGGACGAAAGUCUGAACCAGCCAAGUAGCGUGAAGGAUGACUGCCCUAUGGGUUGUAAACUUCUUUUAUAUGGGAAUAAAAUGUUCCACGUGUGGUCUUUUGUAUGUACCAUAUGAAUAAGGAUCGGCUAACUCCGUGCCAGCAGCCGCGGUAAUACGGAGGAUCCGAGCGUUAUCCGGAUUUAUUGGGUUUAAAGGGUGCGUAGGUGGAUUGUUAAGUCAGUUGUGAAAGUUUGCUGCUCAACCGUAAAAUUGCAGUUGAAACUGGUAGUCUUGAGUACAGUAGAGGUGGGCGGAAUGCGUGGUGUAGCGGUGAAAUGCUUAGAUAUCACGAAGAACUCCGAUUGCGAAGGCAGCUCACUGGACUGCAACUGACACUGAGGCGCGAAAGUGUGGGUAUCAAACAGGAUUAGAUACCCGAGUAGUC